RNAcentral lists this ribosomal RNA (440 nucleotides) under uncultured bacterium. RNAcentral describes it as "partial 16S ribosomal RNA". It matches the Rfam family "Bacterial small subunit ribosomal RNA", at positions 338 to 795 of the family's 1533-position model. The record is from RNAcentral.
CCUACGGGAGGCAGCAGUGGGGAAUAUUGCACAAUGGGGGAAACCCUGAUGCAGCGAAGCCGCGUGAGUGAAGAAGUAAUUCGUGAUGUAAAGCUCUAUCAGUAGGGAAGAAAAUGACGGUACCUGUGUAAGAAGCCCCGGCUAAAUACGUGCAAGCAGCCGCGGGAAUACGUAGGGGGCAAGCGGUAUACGGAUUUACUGGGUGUAAAGGGAGCGUAGACGGCAGUGCAAGUCUGGAGUGAAAGGCGGGGGCUCAACCCCCGGACUGCUCUUGAAACUGGACGGCUGGAGUGCAGGAGAGGUAAGUGGAAUUCCUAGUGUAGCGGUGAAAUGCGUAGAUAUUAGGAGGAACACCAGUGGCGAAGGCAGCUUACUGGACUGUAACUGACGUUGAGGCUCGAAAGCGUGGGGAGCAAACAGGAUUAGAUACCCGAGUAGUC